This is a long non-coding RNA of Poeciliopsis prolifica (blackstripe livebearer), 404 nucleotides long. RefSeq lists it as uncharacterized. The record is from RefSeq and is a predicted model, not a curated record. NCBI's taxonomy places the organism in Eukaryota, Metazoa, Chordata, Actinopteri, Cyprinodontiformes, Poeciliidae. The transcript has 3 exons.
UUCCCUUUAAGCCACCCCUUUAAGUUCAUUGUCAUGUGUGUUUCCGGGUUGGCUGCUGCUCACUGUUGGUUGUCGCGUCGGUUGUUGAUAAAACAACUUGAAUUUUCUAAAUCGACUCGUCACUCUUUCAAUCUCUAAGCUGUGAAGAUUCGCGGUUGUGAUUCAUUAACACCUGGUAUACCUUCCUGAUUUGAACAAGGUACCAUGGCAUCCACCUACUCUGACAAUCCGUUACUCGACGGUCAGGUUUUUUCUUCUGGUCCCCUUCAUUGACACACUUGAUGACGGAAGAUGGCGAGCUACCCACCCACCAUCUGGUGGUAGGAGAACAGAACUACACCUUCCAUAUAGGAACUAAACAGACUAAGGAGUAUUAAAAAGGAAAAAUAACUAUUCUCCCUUCA